CAGAUGGAGUUUCUGUAAUUUUCACUCAGUUUUGAGUAGACUACAGAUGUGAAAGGGCUGUUUGGAAACAAGCUUUGUCAAGAAAGCAGCACAAGGUGAGAUUCCUGAGGUCUCAAGCUUUUUAUACCGAAUCAUCCCUUUGUGCAUUAUUUUGCGCUCACACCUUCUCUUUUACCUUGUGGCCUGCUCCCCUGCCUCCUUUCCUUUGUGUGCUCCCGUUCCCUUGCUUUCCCAAGCAUCUGCCCCUAAACUCCACACCUAGGAUCCUUGACUGUAAGAAUUUGUACCUGUCUCUUUCAACAAAAAACAUUGUUCCCAAACCUCUGGCGAAACUGGGUCUAGUCCCACUCCUCUCUCAUCUACUUACCUCUUUGAAAAAGAGAUAAAAAGGCUAGAUGGACUUUUUCUGAGGUUUCUCAUGUUCCCACUGACCCCCACAUACAUCUUGUGCUUGAUCUCUCCCCUUCCUCGCAUUUUGAAAGCUACUGCUCUGGCUAAACUGAAUCAAUAAUAGCUCUUGGACGAAUCUGUUUUUUUUUUCCAGGCGCUUAUAAAGAAGCCAGUCAGUUGAAAAAAUUAAAACACUAUGGCCCAAGAAAGAUUCCUUUCUUUAAAAAAAAACACAAAACCAAACCCCAACAAAUUUAAACCCCCAAAUGCUUGCAAGGUAUCUAGGGGACAAGCAGUCUACCUACAUAAACUUACACCCUUGAAGCCAAGAAAUGGUUGCUAGACAGCCAGCUUCCAGAGAAGACGCAGGGCACCAAGGUCUCCUUCAGGCCCCUUGGGGUCCCAUCAGCUCUUCUGAUGUGGCCUCGUUGUCUUUUUCCACAAGGCACAACAUUUUAUAUAGCUUGUUUGAGGAUCUCGAGGUUAAGUGGAAAUUAAUGUACAAUAACCAAUACCUUUCCCAGAAACUAUACUGCAGAAACAGUGUUGACUCCAAUACUGCAGAACUUGCUCCAAACCUAGGAGGAACCUGGUCCGUGGUUCAGGGUGUGAGGGAAACCGAGGACCUGGCUGAAACGGACUUUGUAAGAGUGCAAAGAACGGAGAGAAUGGGAAAAGCCAGCGAAGGUUGGCCUGACCUGGAACCGCAAAAUGGUGGCCCAAACUGGUACUUCAAGGUGACAGAAGGACCUCGGGUUAGGCUGUGUUUUGACUGUAAGUCAUUGUUGUAGUUACUCUACGUGAAAUAAAAGUAAUUGUAGGACUGUGUAAUAAUUGGCUGACUCAAGUGUCAAAAUAAAAAUUACCUCCUUGGUUUGCAGGUUGUUAUUCUGAAAUCUUUUCCUCAAGAAAAUAGUCCUAAUUUACAUGUACAUCACCGGCAAAUCCUUAUUCACAUAAACAAUGCUGCUUCUGCUCUUUCCUAUUCUGCUUUUCUUCCAGAUCAUAAAAAGUCAAUGGACUCUUACUGGCAGGUAAUGGCUGCUGGAUCAGUCAUGAAAACACCUGAACUAAUAAAGAUCUGUAGUAUAAAAAAAAAAAGAGCAAGAUUUACGGGUUCAGUUUGGCAUAUAAGAAUUUAGCAUAUAAUAGAAAAUUCUAGAUAUAGAAAAUCUCUCUCUCAUUCUUUUUAUAUUGGGCCAGUGAGACAUUAUGCUACAUCAGGUGUCAGAGAUGCUGAGCCCCUGUGAAAGAAUUCCUUUCCAGAUCAGCAAGUUUUAGUACGAGAGAAAAUUAAGAAGGACGGAGAAAGCAUCUGGUAUAAUUAAUCUGUUUUGGGACUGGUGCCACUGAGUCAGCUGGCUGACUGUCGUCUCGACCACUCGUGUUUUCUCCUCUCAGCUUUCUUCCCUCGUUUCCUAUAAACUGAUUAUUCUGAAGCUCAGCAUACCACACGCACGCAAAUACCCUCGGCAAGGCGGAGCUUACUGAAUUAUUCACAGCAUUAAUAUUUCUACGGUGGCCACGGCAAGUCUUUAACCGCUACCUCCGUACGGCCACGGGAGGGCUCUUCGGGCGGCUCCGGAGCUCCCUGGCCGGGAGCCGGGCAGCGCCUCAGACCCGGGAGCCGGGCAGCGCCUCAGACCGGCGCCCGCCCUGCCCCGCCCCCCCCCGCCGCCGCCGCUCCAUCCGGGCCUCUGCGCCGCGGCCGUUGGAAGCGUUCGAAACCCCGCAGCGGCCAAUCAGCGCAGAGCGCUCACCCGUUCGGCAACCGGCUCCCGCAACGAGGCCUGUUGGUCUGCCCAGGAAACUUCCCACCGCCAAUGGCGGACCGCCCAGCCGUGAGCGCCAGGUGCGCUAUCCAGUCAGAGAGGGCAGGAGGCGAAGCGCCGUCCAAAAAGGGCGGGGGAGGGGGCGGGACAUCUCGGAGAGAUGCCGAAUGAGGUAGUGGCUUACAGAGGGGCGGCGUGGCCGGCAGCCAAUGCUUGGCGCGGUUAGUGCGGCGGCUCGCUUUUUGAAUCGGUGGUGGCGGCGGCCGCUCAUGGCGGAGGCUGGUUUUGCGGUUGGCGGCAGGUGGCAUCGGCGGUGAGGGGAAAGCUGGCCCUGGGCGCCGGGAACGGGUGGGAAGCUGGCCCUGGGCACCGGGAACGGGCGGGUGUGGCCGGGGU
Molecule: long non-coding RNA, 2558 nt
Filed under: Accipiter nisus (Eurasian sparrowhawk)
Lineage: Eukaryota; Metazoa; Chordata; Aves; Accipitriformes; Accipitridae
Description: lncRNA (ENSANIG00000013556.1)
Source: RNAcentral